Long non-coding RNA from Felis catus (domestic cat), 527 nucleotides. RefSeq lists it as uncharacterized. NCBI's taxonomy places the organism in Eukaryota, Metazoa, Chordata, Mammalia, Carnivora, Felidae. The record is from RefSeq and is a predicted model, not a curated record. The transcript is spliced from 2 exons.
CCCACUCACACAAAGGCUGUGAAAUCCAAAGGAGAAGAGGGAGCUAGAGAGAUAUUUGGCUCUCAAGGUGGAGUAUUUUUGCCCCGGGGGAAAGGUACUGGGACUCCCAGACUCUUCUAAAACUCUACAGAAGGCUCCGUGCUAACAGACAGGCAUUGAAAUAUCAUCCUGCGCUUAUCAACAGGGGCACAAGUCCUUGUCACAUCGAAGCCAGUUGCGAGACAGUGAAAUGUUUUUCGCUAUUCUUUGAAUUUUCAAGCUCAGAUCAAAAGCCCUGAUUCCUUCUGGGUGCCUGGCCUGCAACAGAACAGGUGGCCAUCAGGCAAAUGGGGCUGCUGGGACUGACUUUGUGACUCAAACCACCAGAGCUCCCAAAGGUCGGGGCCAUCCCCUAAAAGUGUCCGGUAAACAGAAGGAGGUGUGCAGCCCUCGGGGGCUUUGAUGCUCUGGCCUCAGGGAACUCUGCAAACAGCUUUUCUUUUUAAUUGAGGUAAAAUCUACAUCUAAAAUAAACUGUUUGAAGCAUU